AUUUAAAUAGUUUAAAAAAAAUUUUGAUUUGUGGAAUCAAAGAUGUUAUUUUAAUUAACUUUAAAUA
Molecule: transfer RNA, 67 nt
Filed under: Staphylinoidea sp. 6 KM-2017
Lineage: Eukaryota; Metazoa; Arthropoda; Insecta; Coleoptera
Description: tRNA-His
Source: RNAcentral